Molecule: long non-coding RNA, 2250 nt
Filed under: Nicotiana benthamiana
Lineage: Eukaryota; Viridiplantae; Streptophyta; Magnoliopsida; Solanales; Solanaceae
Description: long non-coding RNA (NBEN_LNC016798)
Rfam family: Eukaryotic large subunit ribosomal RNA (bases 1921-2250)
Source: RNAcentral
AGUUUUACCCUACUGAUGACAGUGUCGCAAUAGUAAUUCAACCUAGUACGAGAGGAACCGUUGAUUCGCACAAUUGGUCAUCGCGCUUGGUUGAAAAGCGAGUGGUGCGAAACUACAGUGCGCUGGAUUAUGACUGAACGCCUCUAAGUCAGAAAACGGGCUAGAAGCGAUGCAUGCGCUCGUCGUCUGCUUGCCGACCCGUAGUAGGGGCCUUUGGCCCCCAAGGGCACGUGUCGUUGGCUAAGUCAUCGCAGCGGAAGAGCCGCAGUGGCCGCCUUAAAGUAUAAUUUCCAUCGAGCGGUGGGUAGAAUCCUUUGCAGACGACUUAAAUACACGAUGGGGUAUUGUAAGUUUCAGAGUGGCCUUUCUGCCACGAUCCACUGAGAUUAAGCCCUUUGUCGCUCUGAUUCGUCCCUCCCCCUCCAAUCCAAUAAUUUUCUAACUUUUCCGAUUAGAGGUUCACUCCUACCUUGAUGCUAUAUUAUAAUUUGCAAAUGACAUAUAUACGCGACGGGGUAUUGUAAGUGGCAGAGUGGCCUUGCUGCGACGAUCCACUAAGAUUCAGCCCUUUGUCGCUCUGAUUCGUCCCUCCCCCUCCAAUCCAAUCAUUUUCUAACUUUUCUAAUAAGAGGUUCACUCCUACCUUGAUGCUAUAUUAUACUAAGUGUUGGAAAAAUCGAACAAGUCUUCAAGACCUUGGAACGUAUACUAUUUGUGCAUUAAGUGGACAAUGUGACUUUACACUUAGUCACGUCGAGGAAAAUACCAAUCCACGCUAUAGUACUAGAGGCUUUCCAGGGUGUCGCUUGAGAGGCCAAGUCCAAUGAAACGAGCGCAAGGCGUGGCCAUGGUACGAGCCAGGACGUGUCAGUACGUCGCAGGACAUGGCAGGACACGGGUCGGGAUGUGUCAGGACGUCGCAUGACACGGCAGGGCGUAGCCAUGGCACGAGUCAGGACGUCGCAGGACGAGUCAGGAUAAGGCCAUGGCACGGGUCAUAACAUGCCAUGGCACGUGUCAGGACGCGUCAGGUUAUGGCAGUGGAACGUGUAAGGAUACGUCAGGAUACGGCAGCGGCACGUGUCAGGACACGCCGGGACAUGGCAGUGGCACGUGUUAGGACAUGCCAGGACACGUCAGGACAUGGCAGGACAUGGUAGGGAAUGGCAAUAGCAUGACUCAUGACGUCGCAGGACAUGGUAGGGCGUGGCCAUGUCACGAGUCGGGACGUCGCAGGACAUGGCAGGGCGUGACCAUGGCACGAAUCAGGCCGUCGCAGGACAUGGCAGGACGUGGCCAUGGCAUGACUCCUGACGUUGCAGGGCAUGGCAGGGCGUGGCUAUGGCACGAGCCAGGACGUGUCAGGACAUGGCCAUGGCACGUGUCAGGACGCGGCAGGACAUUGCAGGGCGUGGCCAUGGCAUGAGUCAGGACGUCGCAGGACAUGGCAGGAUAUGGCCAUGGUAGGUGUCAGGACGUGUCACGACAUGGCCAUGGUACGUGUCAUGACAUGGCCAUGGCACGUGUCAGGACGCGUCAGGACAUGGCCAUGGUACGUGUCAGUACGUCGUUCAAACCCCUUAUUUGUGCUUUGCGGGGCUUGUCUUGGCUUUGCAAUGUUGGCAUCGGCAACAACACAUCGCUGCACGUCACGUGUUGGGGCUGGUGUUGGAUUUGUAUCGGCGAGGCAAGUGUACGUGCGGCACAUGAGUGGUGUUCGGCUUGUGUGGCUAGGUUGGAUCCCUGCUCGAGCAGGGACGUCGCAAGACAUGGCAGGAUAUGGUCAUGGUACAUUUCAGGACGUGUCAGGACAUGGCCAUGGCACGUGUCAGGACGUCGCAGGACGCGUCAGGACACGGCCAUUAGUGCAAAUCUUGGUGGUAAUAGCAAAUAAUCAAAUGAGAACUUUGAAGGACGAAGAGGGGAAAGGUUCCAUGUGAACGAAAAUUGCACAUGGAUAACUGGCUUGUGGCAGCCAAGCGUUCAUACCGACGUUGCUUUUUGAUCCUUCGAUGUCGGCUCUUCCUAUCAUUGUGAUGCAGAAUUCACCAAAUGUUGGAUUGUUCACCCACCAAUAGGGAACGUGACCUGGGUUUAGAUCUACGUGAGACAGGUUAGUUUUACCCUACUGAUGACAGUGUCGCAAUAGUAAUUCAACCUAGUACGAGAGGAAACGUUGAUUCGUACAAUUGGUCAUCGCGCUUGGUACAAACGCCAGUGGCGCGAAGCUACCGUGCGCUGGAUUAUGAC